RNAcentral lists this ribosomal RNA (429 nucleotides) under Bacteroidota bacterium. RNAcentral describes it as "Bacteroidetes bacterium partial 16S ribosomal RNA". It matches the Rfam family "Bacterial small subunit ribosomal RNA", at positions 355 to 776 of the family's 1533-position model. Lineage: Bacteria; Pseudomonadati; Bacteroidota. The record is from RNAcentral.
UAGGGAAUCUUCGGCAAUGGGGGGAACCCUGACCGAGCAACGCCGCGUGAGUGAAGAAGGUUUUCGGAUCGUAAAGCUCUGUUGUUAAGGAAGAACGAGUGUGAGAAUGGAAAGUUCAUACUGUGACGGUACUUAACCAGAAAGGGACGGCUAACUACGUGCCAGCAGCCGCGGUAAUACGUAGGUCCCGAGCGUUGUCCGGAUUUAUUGGGCGUAAAGCGAGCGCAGGCGGUUAGAUAAGUCUGAAGUUAAAGGCAGUGGCUCAACCAUUGUAGGCUUUGGAAACUGUUUAACUUGAGUGCAGAAGAGGAGAGUGGAAUUCCAUGUGUAGCGGUGAAAUGCGUAGAUAUAUGGAGGAACACCAGUGGCGAAGGCGACUCUCUGGUCUGUAACUGACGCUGAGGCUCGAAAGCGUGGGUAGCAAACAGG